AACGGUCUAUACCUGCGGUACCUGCGGAAGGAUCAUUACAUGGCGGAGAAGGUGGGCAACCUGGCCAACAUCCAGGUUGUGAUGCCUUCACGCUCUUCCACCCUUGCCUAUUUGCACCUUCUGUCGUUCCCUCGGCGGGUUUCGACCCGCCGGCGGCAACAUUGAAAAACCCUUUUUGCAGUUAGCAUUCAAUUCUUCUGAUCAAAUAUUAAAUCAUUACAACUUUCAACAAUGGAUCUC
This 240-nucleotide unclassified non-coding RNA is filed under the name soil metagenome. RNAcentral's name for it is "partial contains 5.8S ribosomal RNA, internal transcribed spacer 2, and large subunit ribosomal RNA". The record is from RNAcentral.